CGCAUCUGUGCAUGCAGCAUAUCAAUAAGCGGAGGAAAAGAAACUAACAAGGAUUCCCCUAGUAACGGCGAGUGAAGCGGGAAGAGCUCAAAUUUGAAAUCUUAAAGGGUUUCCCUUUACGAAUUGUAGUUUAAAGAAGUGUUUUCUGUUGAGGUUUUGGUAAAAGUUCUUUGGAAUAGGACAUCAUAGAGGGUGAGAAUCCCGUAUUUGACCUUUACUUUCAACUUUGUGAUACAGCUUUCAAAGAGUCGGAUUGUUUGGGAAUGCAGUCCAAAAUGGGUGGUAAAUUUCAUCUAAAGCUAAAUAUUGGCGAGAGACCGAUAGCGAACAAGUACCGUGAGGGAAAGAUGAAAAGAACUUUGAAAAGAGAGUUAAACAGUACGUGAAAUUGUCAAAAGGGAAGCGCUUGACAUCAGUGUUGUUUUUCUGAAAAUCAAUUAAAGAACUGUUUAUGCUAAGCUGUUUAGACUUUAUCAGCUAUCUGUUUAGUUUUGAGCUUUUCUUUAAUGCACUUUUCAGUUAACAAGUCAACAUCAAUUUCUUUUGCUGUAAAAAAGCCUGAGGAAGGUGGCUUGAGAUUCGUCUUAAGUGUUUAUAGCCUCUUGCCUAUGCAGUCGGAGAGAUUGAGGUCUGCAGCGUAGAUCCUUCGGGGCUAAAUGCAUUUGUGCUAAGUUAUAGCAUUUUAUAGACAACUUGUUGACUAUGAUUUGUCUUGUAGCUUACUCGCUUAUGUUAUUUUACCUACGCUUAGGAUGUUGAGUCGUAGAGCACGCAG
Molecule: ribosomal RNA, 775 nt
Filed under: uncultured Neocallimastigales
Lineage: Eukaryota; Fungi; Neocallimastigomycota; Neocallimastigomycetes; Neocallimastigales
Description: partial large subunit ribosomal RNA
Rfam family: Eukaryotic large subunit ribosomal RNA
Source: RNAcentral